RNAcentral lists this ribosomal RNA (250 nucleotides) under uncultured bacterium. RNAcentral describes it as "partial 16S ribosomal RNA". It matches the Rfam family "Bacterial small subunit ribosomal RNA", at positions 779 to 1032 of the family's 1533-position model. The record is from RNAcentral.
UAGAUACCCUGGUAGUCCACGCAGUAAACGAUGAUAACUGGGCGUAUGCGAUAUACAGUAUGCUCCUAAGCGAAAGCGUUAAGUUAUCCACCUGGGGAGUACGCCGGCAACGGUGAAACUCAAAGGAAUUGACGGGGGCCCGCACAAGCGGAGGAACAUGUGGUUUAAUUCGAUGAUACGCGAGGAACCUUACCCGGGAUUGAAAUGUAGAUGACCGCUCCUGAAAGGGAGUUUUCCUUCGGGACAUCUA